UGAUUGACAGCCCCUGAUGUUUCAACCAGUGCAUUUGAAGUGCUCCUGUGUUUUGGCCACACAAUGACCGCACUGCCCUAUUUGCUAUUCUCCAACCUGCCAAAAAAACUUUCGGUUUCUUCAAAGUUAAUGAUACUAGAAAGCAUUUGAAACCACACUCUUAUAGCCAGAGGGGAAGAGCUGAAUGCAUCUACAUCAGGCUGGCUAAACCAAACACCAGAACCAGCAUCAAGAAGAGUGAAAGGUGUUGACGUGUGCAAUGGGGCAAUGUGGUGAACCAGUACAACCAGUGAGGGCAUGUGUUUCACCAGCAGUUGACCACUUGUUAUACAGACAGAAACAUCCACCAAGAUCUUGUCUGAUGGGGCCUUCUUUGGAGGGUGGUGCUGGACCGGUAAUCUGUGCGAACUGUACUUGCCAAAGGUCAAUAAAGAGUCCAAGAGAUGGUGCCAUCAACGGGUCCACUAAUCCACAGCUCCCUCUGUUGAUCAAAUGCAUCUGAUCUCAUCAAAGCGGACCCUCUGCUCAUUCAAGUCCCAACAGACACCCCGGCUUCUUUACUAAGCACUAUUUUACAUUCAUGUUUGAAUACCACUGAUGGGAGAGCAUAUCUUGUAGACUUUGGUUUUGUGUGGUCCAACACUGCAG
Molecule: long non-coding RNA, 648 nt
Organism: Seriola aureovittata
Lineage: Eukaryota; Metazoa; Chordata; Actinopteri; Carangiformes; Carangidae
Exons: 5
Source: RefSeq, a predicted model, not a curated record